This 265-nucleotide long non-coding RNA is filed under the name Ananas comosus (pineapple). RNAcentral's name for it is "long non-coding RNA (ACOM_LNC037534)". The record is from RNAcentral. Lineage: Eukaryota; Viridiplantae; Streptophyta; Magnoliopsida; Poales; Bromeliaceae.
UGGUAAAAUGAUACAAUAAGUUCCUAGAUCUUGCAUGAUGUGUGGGAUUUUAUUUUAUAUGUAUCAAGAAUUUUCAUUGAUUUUCGGGUCAACAAUUUUGUAAGUUUGAAUAUCCCUGAAAUUGAUUUUUCAAAAUUUAUUUAUGAAAUUUUGUUUGAAGUUUUUGGGCUGGAAAUUGGUUAUUUUUGAUGAUUGAACAGUGUGAAAUAUUUUUUAAUUUUUCUGAAAUUUUUGGGCCUCAGUUUAAAAUUUUUUUUUAAAAUUU